UGAGGAAUAUUGGUCAAUGGGCGCAAGCCUGAACCAGCCAUGCCGCGUGCAGGAUGACGGUCCUAUGGAUUGUAAACUGCUUUUGUACGAGAAGAAACAACAUUACGUGUAAUGUCUUGACGGUAUCGUAAGAAUAAGGAUCGGCUAACUCCAUG
RNAcentral lists this ribosomal RNA (155 nucleotides) under uncultured bacterium. Its description in RNAcentral is "partial 16S rRNA". It matches the Rfam family "Bacterial small subunit ribosomal RNA", at positions 355 to 507 of the family's 1533-position model. The record is from RNAcentral.